UAGGGAAUCUUCCACAAUGGACGCAAGUCUGAUGGAGCAACGCCGCGUGAGUGAAGAAGGUUUUCGGAUCGUAAAGCUCUGUUGUUGGUGAAGAAGGAUAGAGGCAGUAACUGGUCUUUAUUUGACGGUAAUCAACCAGAAAGUCACGGCUAACUACGUGCCAGCAGCCGCGGUAAUACGUAGGUGGCAAGCGUUGUCCGGAUUUAUUGGGCGUAAAGCGAGCGCAGGCGGAAUGAUAAGUCUGAUGUGAAAGCCCACGGCUCAACCGUGGAACUGCAUCGGAAACUGUCAUUCUUGAGUGCAGAAGAGGAGAGUGGAACUCCAUGUGUAGCGGUGGAAUGCGUAGAUAUAUGGAAGAACACCAGUGGCGAAGGCGGCUCUCUGGUCUGCAACUGACGCUGAGGCUCGAAAGCAUGGGUAGCGAACAGGAUUAGAUACCCUGGUAGUCCAUGCCGUAAACGAUGAGCGCUAGGUGUUGGGGACUUUCCGGUCCUCAGUGCCGCAGCAAACGCAUUAAGCGCUCCGCCUGGGGAGUACGACCGCAAG
Molecule: ribosomal RNA, 546 nt
Filed under: uncultured bacterium
Lineage: Bacteria
Description: partial 16S ribosomal RNA
Rfam family: Bacterial small subunit ribosomal RNA
Source: RNAcentral